Molecule: long non-coding RNA, 1123 nt
Filed under: Cricetulus griseus (Chinese hamster)
Lineage: Eukaryota; Metazoa; Chordata; Mammalia; Rodentia; Cricetidae
Description: lncRNA (ENSCGRG00015030911.1)
Source: RNAcentral
GAACCGUGAUGCGCGACGCCCCCGAGGCCUAAGGCCCCCAGAGACCCAUCACCAGGAUUCCGGGUGCCGAGCCAUGCAGGCUCUUAGGACCCGGGGUUUCCUCCCAGCUCCCAGCGACACCCCAGCAAAGCAGGAUGGCGGAAGGAAGGAAGGAGAACCGGCCGCCAUUAGCCACCGCAGUAUUGAACGGCCGGGCGGCCCCAGCCUUGGCCCCAACCCGGCCCAGCCCGCGGCUCGGCUCACAACCUGAAAAUAAAACUCAUGUUUGAGAGGGAGGAGCGAGCGCGGCCGGGAGGACAGGCAGCGCCGGGCUGCAGGCUGAAGAGAUGCUGCGUCAUGGUGCCAACAUGGACGCCGGCCUUUUGUCCUUUUUCUCUUUGGAAGAGCAGGCGAGCCCCGGAGCCCGAAAAGUUGAUUUAAGGGUGCAGAAACACCAUAAUCAAACGGGAGCGAGACCUUAGGAUGGGUGGGAACGUUUCCUCGCCUUUCCAGCCCCUCCAUCUUCAAAGCACUUCGAUUUCUUCUCUGUCACCAAGGUUCAGAUCUGAGGCGAGCCAAAGGGACUAGCGCAAGGCAGCUCCAUGGAUGCCCCAGGGUACUGGGGAGAUGCUCUCUUCGCCUUUGGGGCAGAAGAGAAAAAUGGCUCCCCUCAUCUGUUGGCCUCUCCUUGGAGUCUGAUGAAGGAUGUUUUGAGAUCAGCGUCUAAUAACUCAAGCCCUAUAGAAGCCGCGUGCUGAUUGGCUGCCGCGCCCUGCCGCCCUGCUCCAGCCAAUUACCUACCCACGGCCAAAUUACAAACCCCGAAAAGAGCCCCAAUAUGAAAUACACCACCACGAAGCCCCAAAGAGGCGGCUGCUUCGCCUCGGCAGCCCGAGAAGAGAGGCCGAGGGGUCUGCAAACAUAUCCACGCGAAGCCGGGGAAGCUUCUGAGUUGAACUCACAAAAUGGAAGCCGAGCGCUGAUUGGCCGCCGCCACUCCCGGACCUUUAAUAAAGAAAGGGGAAGGAAAAUGAUAAAUGCAAAAAAGGGGACUCUCUGUCGCUGGUGGCUGGAGGAAGGAGGGAGGAAGAAGCAUGUGUUCAGGACAAUUACUGGGCGCUCCCCUCCAAAAAUAAAAACAGAA